GUGGGGAAUAUUGGGCAAUGGGCGCAAGCCUGACCCAGCAACGCCGCGUGAAGGAAGAAGGCUUUCGGGUUGUAAACUUCUUUUGUCAGGGACGAAAAAAAUGACGGUACCUGACGAAUAAGCCACGGCUAACUACGUGCCAGCAGCCGCGGUAAUACGUAGGUGGCAAGCGUUAUCCGGAUUUACUGGGUGUAAAGGGCGUGUAGGCGGGAAAGCAAGUCAGAUGUGAAAACUAUGGGCUCAACCCAUAGCCUGCAUUUGAAACUGUUUUUCUGGAGUACUGGAGAGGCAGAUGGAAUUCCUAGUGUAGCGGUGAAAUGCGUAGAUAUUAGGAGGAACACCAGUGGCGAAGGCGAUCUGCUGGACAGCAACUGACGCUGAGGCGCGAAAGCGUGGGGAGCAAACAGGAUUAGAUACCCUUGUAGUCC
RNAcentral lists this ribosomal RNA (428 nucleotides) under uncultured bacterium. RNAcentral's name for it is "partial 16S ribosomal RNA". It matches the Rfam family "Bacterial small subunit ribosomal RNA", at positions 354 to 796 of the family's 1533-position model. The record is from RNAcentral.